UACAGAGGGUGCAAGCGUUGUUCGGAAUCAUUGGGCGUAAAGGGCGCGUAGGCGGCCGACCAAGUCGGAGGUGAAAUCCCUCGGCUCAACUGAGGAACUGCCUCCGAUACUGUUCGGCUUGAGUCCCGGAGAGGGUAGCGGAAUUCCGAGUGUAGCGGUGAAAUGCGUAGAUAUCAGGAGGAACACCGGUGGCGAAGGC
Molecule: ribosomal RNA, 199 nt
Filed under: uncultured prokaryote
Description: partial 16S ribosomal RNA
Rfam family: Bacterial small subunit ribosomal RNA
Source: RNAcentral